UACAGAGGGGGCAAGCGUUGUUCGGAAUUACUGGGCGUAAAGGGUUCGUAGGCGGUGCGGUAUGUCGGGAGUGAAAUCUCUGGGCUUAACUCAGAGGCUGCUUCCGAAACUGCCGUGCUCGAGUGCGGGAGAGGCGAGUGGAAUUACAGGUGUAGCGGUGAAAUGCGUAGAUAUCUGUAGGAACACCCGUGGCGAAGGCGGCUCGCUGGACCGCAACUGACGCUGAGGAACGAAAGCUAGGGGAGCAAACAGG
This 253-nucleotide ribosomal RNA is filed under the name uncultured bacterium. RNAcentral describes it as "partial 16S ribosomal RNA". It matches the Rfam family "Bacterial small subunit ribosomal RNA", at positions 524 to 776 of the family's 1533-position model. The record is from RNAcentral.